RNAcentral lists this ribosomal RNA (497 nucleotides) under uncultured bacterium. RNAcentral's name for it is "partial 16S ribosomal RNA". It matches the Rfam family "Bacterial small subunit ribosomal RNA", at positions 28 to 507 of the family's 1533-position model. The record is from RNAcentral.
GAUGAACGCUGGCGGCGUGCCUAAUACAUGCAAGUCGAGCGAACAGACGAGGAGCUUGCUCCUCUGACGUUAGCGGCGGACGGGUGAGUAACACGUGGAUAACCUACCUAUAAGACUGGGAUAACUUCGGGAAACCGGAGCUAAUACCGGAUAAUAUAUUGAACCGCAUGGUUCAAUAGUGAAAGACGGUUUUGCUGUCACUUAUAGAUGGAUCCGCGCCACAUUAGCUAGUUGGUAAGGUAACGGCUUACCAAGGCAACGAUGCGUAGCCGACCUGAGAGGGUGAUCGGCCACCCUGGAACUGAGACACGGUCCAGACUCCUACGGGUGGCAGCAGUAGGGAAUCUUCCGCAAUGGGCGAAAGCUUGACGGAGCAACGCCGCGUGAGUGAUGAAGGUCUUCGGAUCGUAAAACUCUGUUAUUAGGGAAGAACAAAUGUGUAAGUAACUAUGCACGUCUUGACGGUACCUAAUCAGAAAGCCACGGCUAACUACGUG